Molecule: long non-coding RNA, 622 nt
Filed under: Vigna radiata
Lineage: Eukaryota; Viridiplantae; Streptophyta; Magnoliopsida; Fabales; Fabaceae
Description: long non-coding RNA (VRAD_LNC003232)
Source: RNAcentral
CAACAAGCAAGUUGCAGCAAAUACCCACNGAGUUAAAGUUCAUCACAUUCACCCUUGACCUUAUUCUCAGUACAACUUGUGCAAUUGAAAACAGUACAACCAAAAGAAAGGAAACAAGUCAAACAUAACACCCUUUGAAUCCAAAGCCAAGAAUAAUAGUUUUUCUUUUCUUCACAUUAGAACCCUAAAGCUGCAAGAAAACAAAAAGUGUGGUCUUGUUUCUUCUCCCUCAAGCAAAAAGAGAAAAGCUUCAUGUAUAAAAGCUUGAGAUUUUNGAAUGCUGAAACUUUGUCUUCUUUUCCAANUACAAAAGCAACACUCAAACACAAUCACCAGUANUUUUAAGAGCUAGAAACUGCACUAUGAAGAAUAACAACAGUAUUACUGCAACAAAACAUUAUAAAAAUCUAUUAUUAUUGAUGUUUAAGAUCACAAUGAAACAUAAGCAGAUGUCUUUAAUGAUCCCCCAGCCUCCAUUACCACUUGUUGCAGGAUUUUAAACCGACAGCAACAUGCAGUAAUGGAAGCCUUUGGGGUCACCAAAACUCAUUCUGUAUUAUUCAANGCUCCAUGCAUACAUAGACCUAAGAAAUUUGUUAAUUUAUUUCUCANUCAAGCACAC